Molecule: long non-coding RNA, 3008 nt
Organism: Ostrinia nubilalis (European corn borer)
Lineage: Eukaryota; Metazoa; Arthropoda; Insecta; Lepidoptera; Crambidae
Exons: 2
Source: RefSeq, a predicted model, not a curated record
UAAAACCAAUUUAAAAAUAAAACCUUAAAUCAAUAAAUUGAGACAAUUAUUAAAUUAUCUAAGAUGGCAAUGAGUAUUUUAUCAGUCUUAAAGUAAUUCUAUUAUAGCUAAAAAUUAAUUACCAUUAAUUUUGCAUCAAUGCAACUCAGUCCUUAAUAUCAGUCUUAAUUGUUUUUGUAAAAAUAUUAAGGUACUCAAAUCAUGAGGUAGCGAGAUAAAUUAUUCUUAAUUGUUUUGUAAAAAUAUUAAGGUACAUCAUGAGGUAGCGAAAUAAAUUAUCAGUCUUAAAUUAAAACUAUACAACUUUAAAAGACCCAUCAUUACGACGGUAAAAUCCUGGAGCAGGGUGAUUGUGAAUUUUACGAACUCUCUUGAUAAUUUGUCCUUCUCGAUGGACUUCGGUGGUAACAUCUACAUGACAGCCAGUCUUGGUGCGUGAAGUGCAGUACCAUUGUUUUUUUCCGUAUGCCAAUUUGUUCUUCAACCGAAAUGCAAAGCCAUUGUGGACUAACAGUAAGCUGCCCUUCCGGGUUGGUAUGAAGUUUGCCACUGUAACAAAUAGGUAUAUAUUUUUCAGUAAACAUAUAAACAAAGAAAAACAACUAUAAAUCUAACUUAGAUAAACUAAUUUAUCUAUGAAUGAAAACGGGAAAAUAAAACGAAGAACCCAUCAAAUUUUUAUGUUUAUUCUUAGAUGCCUUUAGCAUGAAAAAGAGACAGCCAAUUGAAGUGUGAUUAAUGAAAUCUACUAUCUAGGUACGUUUAUCUCAAAAUUUUCUUUAAUGUUUAUAAUCACAGUCAGCCACAUAAACUUAUUAAACAGGAUUGGCGCACAAUCUUCAAAACUAUAGGCUCAUGUGGUAAACAAAUCGAAUUUACGUGUUCCACGUGUUUACUAUUUGGUUUAUAACUUCACAGCACUCAUCACAUCACUAAAAACGACUCCUCUAACGUUUUUGUUUAGUAAUAUUAUUGUUUGAUUGAUCAAUUAAUUAAUGAAACAUCUAUUGUGUGUUACACUAAUCCAGUCAAAUAAAUGAAGUAAACAGAAAAAAGAAUGAACGAAAGGAAUGAUGUACGAUGACGCUGACUGACGGACGCCGCCUCGGUUCGUCGUCCACAGAUUACACAGACCUAUCCAAAAAGACGCGCGCCCGCGCUGCCAUCUCCGUUUCAUUACGCACAAUCACAAUAGAAGCUAGUUUAUACAAAUUAAAUUAUUGCAAAUAAAAAUUUGCGUUUAUUUUAAUGUUCUUUUUUAGUUUGAGUUUUGAAAAUAAUUUAUGAUGAAGGAACAUAAUUUAGUAACAUAAAAUUAAUAACACAAUUUUAUUCAUUUAGUUGAAAAGAAACGUAGUAACUAAAAGAAAGAUUGAGAUUUAAUGAAAACAAUACACCAAAAUAAAUUAGACCCUUAAAAUGAAAACACUUUAUGUAGGAAAAAUAGUCGGCGCUAAUUGGACAACGCGGCCGCGCUAAUCCUAAACAUCCAAUUUAAAAAAAUAUAUAAGUCAGUGUCAAAGUGACUUGUCAAGUUGUCAUUCAGUUGUGUUACUACUUGUCGCAUGUUUGUACGAAGAGAAAAAAUGGAAGAUUGUUCGAUGGACAUGUAAUUAAUUUAAUGUUGAAGUGUAUUUGACUUUAGUGGAUGCAGUGUACGUUGUGCGUGUUAGAAGUGACGUGUAAAUAAACAUUCAUUCCGUGAUCCUUGGAUAAAGUGCUGUUUUCAUUGCUUGAAAUACACGUCAAAAAGUGAACUAAGUUUCUGGAUCAAAAUUGCAAAACUUUUAAAGCUCAUAAGUUACAUAAUGAUAGCGUCCAAUUACAGGUCCUUACUCGUAGAACUGGACCAGAAAACUUAGAAUAGUAGUUUUAACUUUGUUUAUAAAUAUUUCAUGAACUUUAGACAACAAAGCUACAAUCACUAGUUUGGAUCAACUUAACAAUGUUUUACUAUUCAUUUAUUCAUUAGUUUAGGUAUAUUCAUAAACACAAGAGGCAAUUCCAAGUUAUUUAUUUACCAGAAUCACACAUUUAGAUUUAUGUACAAAAAGGCAUAUGGCAGUCAGCUGUGGUACUGCUGGUAUUUCUUCAGCCGGUGCUGUCCAGCGAAGCUCCGAAUCAACAAUGCAGGAAAAGUUACCGAGAGCAUAGGACGCCACAAUCACGAUCCACCAACCUGCUGGAUGACACCGGACGGUAAAUCGUACAGUCUUCCACCGUUACCCGAUAAGAAUUCACAGUAGUUUAUAAAAUUUUGUAACUAAUUAAAGUAUUUUCAAUGCCUUUUGUGUUUCACUGCCUUUUUUAUUUGUUGUGAAUAAACUGCCUACUUUUAUUUAUAUUGAGAUUGUAUUGACAACCCAUAUUUUUUCUUUUAAGUUUUAGUAUUCAUGUUAGAUGAUAGCUUGAGUUAUAAUGCAACUUAAAAUAUUUCAAUGUGCACUUUACUUGUAUUCCACACUUAAAUGUUCUCAAACUGUAUUACAAUUAAAUGUAAUUUAACAGCAAUAAUGUAAACGAUGAUGAAAACAAAAACAUCUGACUAUUCACUAAUAUUUUAUGCAUAUAUCUUUUACAUAAAAAUAUGUCUGGUGUUUUGGUAUUUAAGGUGAUUAUGCUAAAAUAUUAGUGAUUAGAUAAUUUUAAGGUACCUAUUUAAGUAGAGAUUCUUAUUUUUUAGAUUUUAUUUAAUUGUAUUGUAGCCGAUGUCCAAGUGACUCAUUUGGAAUAAAGCUUUAAUUCCUUGUAACCCCUCAGGUACAACCAAAUAUUUAUACUGCAUUUGUGAGUUUCAACUUGAAAAGUAAGAGACUAUUUUCCUUUGUACAUAUUUUAAUCGAAAAUUGAAUAAUGUUACUACUACAUAUUGUAGGUUAAUUUAAAGUAUAUUUUAUAGUUUAUAACAGUUAUAUUGUAGUUAAAAUUAUAUAAAUUUUAAUAUUGUAGUUAUUGAUAUAGCUAGUAUAUUAUUUUCCAAAUUGUUGGAAUAAAAACAAUCAGUACAG